AUGCUGAUUAAACCUUGCAUAUUACAGUCUGGGCCUCUCUGGUGGUCUCUCUGGGGGUCGUGAUCUGGGCACAACAUAUGGUGCAUUGGCUGGGAACCCCAGCGAUUCCACCAGGAUGAUGGAAGUCCAGAGGUUUAUUAGCAUCUACCGGCUCCUAUGGCGCCCCAGCCCCCUCCCCCCAGCAGUUAGACAUGGAGAGGAGAGAGGCAAAAUCUUGGAGAGCACCCAAAAGGAACUGGGCGCAGAGAGGGUAGGGAAUACAUGCCUGUGACUUGUAAUGUCUUUGGGGCUACUACACUGGGUACGUGGUGAUCCCCUGGAGUUCCAGACCACUGUUGUUUCUUUGUUUAUUAUGUUUAAGGCUGGACAGACGGGACAAUAAAUAAAUAAAUAAAUAAAUAAAUAAAUAAAUAAAAACUUAAAUGUAAAUGCAGAUAACUUGACAGCAGCCCAUCUAGGGUCUAUAUCCAUAGCCCUGAGCCAGGUCUGAUGGCAAGAGAAUACACUGUCUGGGUGGUGAGAGCUAAGCCUUGAGACUGCGGGAAAUGCAAUAUGGCAGAGGAUCUGAAUGGACGCUGGGGGGCUCCGAGGCCAGGGAGCAAGGACACCUGAGAUGGAGCGGAUGGCAAAAUCAUCAUGCACCCGGCCUUAAACGGUGGAGCUAGUGACUGAGAGAGGCCGGCUGCAGCAAAACAGGGCAGCCACCUCUCCCUUGUUCUCUCUCUGUAUCUUGAGGGUCUUUG
Molecule: non-coding RNA, 743 nt
Organism: Myodes glareolus (Bank vole)
Lineage: Eukaryota; Metazoa; Chordata; Mammalia; Rodentia; Cricetidae
Source: RefSeq, a predicted model, not a curated record